Molecule: long non-coding RNA, 477 nt
Organism: Onychostoma macrolepis
Lineage: Eukaryota; Metazoa; Chordata; Actinopteri; Cypriniformes; Cyprinidae
Exons: 5
Source: RefSeq, a predicted model, not a curated record
GUUAGUUCUGAGAACGUUUCCUGUUAGCCCAGUUGUUUCAAACAGGUGAAACUGGUCCAGAAUCGGCCUGAAAGGCCUUCCUAAAACACCUCAUUUAAACACGCCCCCACAUAUCUACAUCACUGUCUUGGAAGAUUUGCACACCGCCCAAAUGUAAACUCAAAGAAAGAAGGUGUUUGGCCAACGCACAACGCACUGGAUAGCUGACCAAUCAGAGCACACCGCACUUUUCAGAACGAUGAGCUUCGACGUGUUUCAGAAAGGUUGGGCAGAGAGGAGCAACAAUAAUGUACGCUCUGUGUUCCAUGGAAAUAAAAACAGCAUUUGGAUUUGGAACAAUAUGAAGCAAAACAGUCUUAAUACUUAAGGUCCCUGCGGGCUGCUGGCAGAUCUGAAUCCAAACAGGACAGGUAUGUAGUUCACAUGUCCAAGCCAGGGAAUAGUGUAGUUUUUGUUAAAAAAAAAAAAAAAUCCCCG